GUACAUGCUUACAACAUAGAAUUAAUGCACCAUAUCCCAUUAGAACUCCAUAGUUAAGCGCACUUAGGAUAGAGUAGUGUUGGGAUGGGUGACCGCCUAGGAAGUACUAGUAUUUUAUACG
This is a non-coding RNA of Picea glauca (white spruce), 121 nucleotides long. The record is from Rfam. Lineage: Eukaryota; Viridiplantae; Streptophyta; Pinopsida; Pinales; Pinaceae.